RNAcentral lists this ribosomal RNA (490 nucleotides) under uncultured bacterium. RNAcentral's name for it is "partial 16S ribosomal RNA". It matches the Rfam family "Bacterial small subunit ribosomal RNA", at positions 29 to 507 of the family's 1533-position model. The record is from RNAcentral.
AGUGAACGCUGGCGGUAGGCCUAACACAUGCAAGUCGAACGGCAGCACAGGAGAGCUUGCUCUCUGGGUGGCGAGUGGCGGACGGGUGAGGAAUACAUCGGAAUCUGCCCAGUCGUGGGGGAUAACGUAGGGAAACUUACGCUAAUACCGCAUACGACCUUCGGGUGAAAGAGGGGGAUCGCUAGACCUCUCGCGAUUGGAUGAGCCGAUGUCGGAUUAGCUAGUUGGCGGGGUAAUGGCCCACCAAGGCGACGAUCCGUAGCUGGUCUGAGAGGAUGAUCAGCCACACUGGAACUGAGACACGGUCCAGACUCCUACGGGAGGCAGCAGUCGGGAAUAUUGGACAAUGGGCGCAAGCCUGAUCCAGCCAUACCGCGUGGGUGAAGAAGGCCUUCGGGUUGUAAAGCCCUUUUGUUGGGAAAGAAAUCUUUCAGGCUAAUACCCUGGGAGGAUGACGGUACCCAAAGAAUAAGCACCGGCUAACUUCGUG